This 252-nucleotide ribosomal RNA is filed under the name uncultured bacterium. RNAcentral describes it as "partial 16S ribosomal RNA". It matches the Rfam family "Bacterial small subunit ribosomal RNA", at positions 524 to 776 of the family's 1533-position model. The record is from RNAcentral.
UACGUAGGGGGCUAGCGUUAUCCGGAAUUACUGGGCGUAAAGCGAGCGCAGGUGGUUUAUUAAGUCUGGUGUAAAAGGCAGUGGCUCAACCAUUGUAUGCAUUGGAAACUGGUAGACUUGAGUGCAGGAGAGGAGAGUGGAAUUCCAUGUGUAGCGGUGAAAUGCGUAGAUAUAUGGAGGAACACCGGUGGCGAAAGCGGCUCUCUGGCCUGUAACUGACACUGAGGCUCGAAAGCGUGGGGAGCAAACAGG